UCCACCCUCAAGCCCCUGCGGGCUUGGUGUUGGGGCUUCUACGGCGGGGUUCGUCCCCCGGUAGGCCCUUAAAGUCAGUGGCGGGCUCGCUAGCACUCCGGGCGUAGUAGCAUUUUACACGUCGCCUAGGGGGUCUGGCGGGCAACCUGCCGUAAAACCGCGACUGCUGUCGCACACUUUAUAGAA
RNAcentral lists this unclassified non-coding RNA (186 nucleotides) under uncultured Sordariomycetes. RNAcentral's name for it is "sequence contains ITS2". Lineage: Eukaryota; Fungi; Ascomycota; Sordariomycetes. The record is from RNAcentral.